CAGUCGAGCGAUGAACCUCCUUCGGGAGGGGAUUAGUGGCGAACGGGUGAGUAACACGUGGGCAAUCUGCCCUGCACUCUGGGACAAGCCCUGGAAACGGGGUCUAAUACCGGAUACUGACCCGCUUGGGCAUCCAAGCGGUUCGAAAGCUCCGGCGGUGCAGGAUGAGCCCGCGGCCUAUCAGCUUGUUGGUGAGGUAAUGGCUCACCAAGGCGACGACGGGUAGCCGGCCUGAGAGGGCGACCGGCCACACUGGGACUGAGACACGGCCCAGACUCCUACGGGAGGCAGCAGUGGGGAAUAUUGCACAAUGGGCGAAAGCCUGAUGCAGCGACGCCGCGUGAGGGAUGACGGCCUUCGGGUUGUAAACCUCUUUCAGCAGGGAAGAAGCGAAAGUGACGGUACCUGCAAAAGAAGCGCCGGCUAACUACGUGCCAGCAGCCGCGGUAAUACGUAGGGCGCGAGCGUUGUCCGGAAUUAUUGGGCGUAAAGAGCUCGUAGGCGGCUUGUCACGUCGGUUGUGAAAGCCCGGGGCUUAACCCCGGGUCUGCAGUCGAUACGGGCAGGCUAGAGUUCGGUAGGGGAGAUCGGAAUUCCUGGUGUAGCGGUGAAAUGCGCAGAUAUCAGGAGGAACACCGGUGGCGAAGGCGGAUCUCUGGGCCGAUACUGACGCUGAGGAGCGAAAGCGUGGGGAGCGAACAGGAUUAGAUACCCUGGUAGUCCACGCCGUAAACGGUGGGCACUAGGUGUGGGCGACAUUCCACGUCGUCCGUGCCGCAGCUAACGCAUUAAGUGCCCCGCCUGGAGAGUACGGCCGCAAGGCUAACACUCAAAGGAAUUGACGGGGGCCCGCACAAGCGGCGGAGCAUGUGGCUUAAUUCGACGCAACGCGAAGAACCUUACCAAGGCUUGACAUACACCGGAAAGCAUCAGAGAUGGUGCCCCCCUUGUGGUCGGUGUACAGGUGGUGCAUGGCUGUCGUCAGCUCGUGUCGGGAGAUG
RNAcentral lists this ribosomal RNA (1001 nucleotides) under uncultured Streptomyces sp. RNAcentral's name for it is "bacterial SSU rRNA". It matches the Rfam family "Bacterial small subunit ribosomal RNA", at positions 59 to 1074 of the family's 1533-position model. Lineage: Bacteria; Bacillati; Actinomycetota; Actinomycetes; Kitasatosporales; Streptomycetaceae. The record is from RNAcentral.